RNAcentral lists this ribosomal RNA (497 nucleotides) under uncultured bacterium. RNAcentral describes it as "partial 16S ribosomal RNA". It matches the Rfam family "Bacterial small subunit ribosomal RNA", at positions 28 to 507 of the family's 1533-position model. The record is from RNAcentral.
GAUGAACGCUGGCGGCGUGCCUAAUACAUGCAAGUCGAGCGAACAGACGAGGAGCUUGCUCCUCUGACGUUAGCGGCGGACGGGUGAGUAACGUGUGUAUAACCUACCUAUAAGACUGGGAUCACUUCGGGAAACCGGAGCUAAUACCGGAUAAUAUAUUGAACCGCAUGGUUCAAUAGUGAAAGACGGUUUUGCGGUAUCUUAUAGAUGGAUCCGCGCCGCGUUAGCUAGUUGGUAAGGUCACGGCUUACCACGGCAACGAUGCGUGGCCGACGUGAGAGGGGGGUCGGCCGCCCUGGAACGUAGACACGCUCCUGGCGCCUACGGGACGGAGCAGUAUGGUAUCGUCCGCAAUGGGCGAAAGUCUUACGGAGCGGCGGCGCGUGAGAGAUGAAGGUCCUCGGAUCGUAAAACUCUGUUAUUAGGUAAGAACAAAUGUGUAAGUAACUAUGCACGUCUUGACGGUACCUAAUCAGAAAGCCACGGCUAACUACGUG